AUUGCCGUAGUACGAAACAAAGAGAAAGCGUGUGAAGGCAUUGAUUGUUUGAUGGAACAACCGAGUAACGAUAUCUCUCAAGAAGAAGCACGUGAGUCUCUCAUUGCCAUCUCCUACACUUCACCUGAAGAGGAGCAAGAGUCUAUAACGUCCUCAGAUGUGAAACCUGUCGUCACUACUACAACAAACGGAGUCGUCACUAAAAGAAACUCUGAAGAUGCGGAAAAGCUCAGAUCAGAGCUGAUUUCUAUCUCCUACGACGAGUCACCUUCACCCUCACCAGCUGCAGCUGUCUGAUAGGAGUAACUGUACAGAUCAAAGUCUUUUCCUUUCUCAUGCAGACGACUUUGGUUUUGUUUGAAAGUUAGACCCUCUUCAACUAUAUAUGAUUGAAAAUUGACGAAACUUUUUCUUCUC
Brassica napus (rape) is the source of this 417-nucleotide long non-coding RNA. RefSeq lists it as uncharacterized. Lineage: Eukaryota; Viridiplantae; Streptophyta; Magnoliopsida; Brassicales; Brassicaceae. The record is from RefSeq and is a predicted model, not a curated record. The transcript has 2 exons.